This 142-nucleotide transfer RNA is filed under the name Marmota monax (woodchuck). RNAcentral describes it as "tRNA.Ala". The record is from RNAcentral. Lineage: Eukaryota; Metazoa; Chordata; Mammalia; Rodentia; Sciuridae.
GGUUAUGGCUCAGUGGUAGAGCACCCGCCUAGCAUGUUUGAGGUGCUGGAUUCCAUCUUCAGCAACAUGUAAAAAUUAAAAAAUUAAAUAAAGGUAUUUUAAAAAGUGAUGUACAAGGUCUUGGGUUCAAACCCCAGUACCA